CCCGACCAGGGAUCAAACCUGCAGUCUUUUGGCGUUUAGGACAACUCUCCAACCAACUGAGCCACACGGCCAGGGCAAAAGUAUUUUUAACACAUUCUGAAACUUGGGUAAACAAUGUCCCCAGCACGCCUCUGGGCCUCCCUUUGUGAUCCGAAAAUGCACUUUUGGACCAAUCUGUGUGAUGCUAGGAAGAACUGCUGACAGUUCUGCCGGUGUUCUUCCUCGCUUCUGUUGAGCGGCGAUGUCAUGUCCAGGUCACUGACCUCACUCAGCCAUUUCUGAUCAGCAAGGGCAAAUGGAGAAAGAGCCAGCAGGAUACAGCACGCACACCUCUGUGGCCGGCUCCUGAGCUCUGCUCUCUGACAGGUGCUGUGGGUUUCGGCCGUCUCUGUAGAAGACAAGCCCUCUUUGAAGUCCAGGUCUGACCGAUGCCAUGCGUGAAGACUACAUGGUGAUGAGAGAGUUGGCUCUUCGCAUGAGGUUAGAUCCAGGAAAAAGGAAGCAAGAAUUGCACAAGUUCAUGGGUACUGUGCAAAAAGAUAAAAAUACGCAAAAAGAGCUUCAACGCUGGGAUAUCAAAUUAGAAACCGAAUUUUUGUCCUUCUCAGGGAGAAUUUUGAAAGAAGUGAGAAUUUUCCAAGGAAAAAGAAUGUUUGACUCCCAUCCACGAUCAGCGAAAUGGGCGAGAGGAACAAGAAGUGGACCACACUCAGUGUGAAGUCACUGCACCGCUGGCUGAUCCUCUACACGAAGAGAAAUUACGGAGCAGCCCUUUCCUUCAUGCAGUCUUGGGAAAGUCACACCUACCAUGGGCGUGGCUAUGAAAGAUGCAGAAACGUAAGUACAGCGGAAAUCACUCCUGACUUAAAAGUCCGUUGUCAGCAGUCGGAAGGUGGAAUAACAGAAAAUAUUAAAUUGUAGGAAUCCGUUGCUUAUCAAAACCCCGAGAGUCUACACACAAAGUAGUCGCAUCUACUCCAGGCAACUACUGUGCAAACAGGCAUUCGUGGUUCGUGGUCUGUGGCCCUUGGGUUACAAGAUGAGGAAGACGUGACCAUCAGCAACUUGAUGCGAGUGGAUGGUGUGAUGGUAAGAACUAGUUCCCAAAUGUGUUUCCAAAAAUUGGACUUGUUUUAAAACUAAACUUGCAAACUGAAAUGCCUGUCUUGGCAUGUGAUCUUGUCUUGCAUGGUGUCAUGUGUAUAAAAUGUUUCUUACAUGUUUCACAGCUCACUACCCUUUGAAUACAGACGAUCUGCUUUUCUAGGCUUGAAGUAAGUGAUCCAGUCAAAUCCUAUGUAACCAUGUUUUACCAUUUUUAUUUUUAGAGAGAGGGGAAGAGAAGGGGAGAAACAUCAAUGUGUGGCUGCC
Molecule: long non-coding RNA, 1371 nt
Organism: Phyllostomus discolor (pale spear-nosed bat)
Lineage: Eukaryota; Metazoa; Chordata; Mammalia; Chiroptera; Phyllostomidae
Exons: 4
Source: RefSeq, a predicted model, not a curated record